UAACCAGCUCUUUGUGCAGUGUCCUU
This 26-nucleotide non-coding RNA is filed under the name Rattus norvegicus (Norway rat). Lineage: Eukaryota; Metazoa; Chordata; Mammalia; Rodentia; Muridae. The record is from RNAcentral.